GGGGUUGGAGAUCUCAAAUGUGGUGAUGUUGGAGAGACCAAUUGAUUGGGGAGAUGUUUUAUAUGAGCAAGGACUUGGUGAGGUAUUUAUGAAAUAACUUCCAUGCUCACUGUUGUUUCUCUCAUUCUCAAACUCCAAGGAUGAUUCUUCACGAAUGCUUAAAAUUCCUCUAGGAUUGUCUCUCAAGUUUGUUUUAUCUAUCCAUUCAAUGGUGAUAGCACAUAGAUUUUUAAUGCCCUCUAGCCAUUGAUGUUGCUCUUCUCGAUCCUCCUUCUUAUGCAUGGGAUGUCUAGAGAGAUUCAUAGGAUUAUCGGGAGAUUCAAGAGAAAGAGCAUAGUAGAAACUAUUAAGCUCAAGGAUGGGAUGGAUAGCCGAAUCAUGGGAUUGAAAUGUUUGGAAAUUGGCUAUUGAAACUUCCUUUCCUCGUUUGGGAGAUGAUUCCUUCUCUAUCUCUAAGAUUUUUCUAUGAAGACUAGUACAAGAAGGAUGUCCACGAAUGAAGACAUACCUUGCUUUACUAAGAGAUAAAGAAAGAAAAACUCUACCAAAGGUUAUAUGAUUAAGACCAAUGUGAAAAUAUCCAGGGAAAACAUGGUCUUGUAGGGCUAGGUCUAAACCAGAAUUUAUAGAAAGAUUAAAAGAUUCCCUAGGUGUAGCUAAAAGUGCAUUAUCUUCUUGAUUAAAAGAUAGGACCUCGGCUAUAGAAAAGGGUUGGUUUUGACCUAUUGCAAUCAACUCCGGACUCAGAUCAUAUUAGGGGCAGGACUUGUUGACUCCCAUGGUCUAUGGCUGGUUUCCGAAGGUGCAAAGAAUUCAAUAAUAGGUAUGGAAUUUAAGUUAUCCAUAAAGAUAGAAAAAAUAAAAAGAUAAAAGAAUAAAAGUAUAAAAGUAUAAUACAAGAUAAUAGCAAGAUUCAAAGUUAUCUCAGCAAACCGUCUUUCUCCCCGGCAACGGCGCCAGAAAUGCUUGUUGACAUUUGGUAACGCAAUAAGGAAAUGAUCCGCAAGCGCAC
Molecule: long non-coding RNA, 1012 nt
Filed under: Sorghum bicolor (sorghum)
Lineage: Eukaryota; Viridiplantae; Streptophyta; Magnoliopsida; Poales; Poaceae
Description: long non-coding RNA (SBIC_LNC005076)
Source: RNAcentral